CGCCUCUUGAUUCAAUAUAAGAGGUCCAGCCUGCCCAGUGACUCUGUUUAACGGCCGCGGUAUCCUAACCGUGCGAAGGUAGCGUAAUCACUUGUUCUUUAAAUAAGGACUAGUAUGAAUGGCACCACGAAGGUUAUACUGUCUCCUUUUUCUAAUCAGUGAAACUAAUCUCCUCGUGAAGAAGCGAGGAUAUAAAUAUAAGACGAGAAGACCCUAUGGAGCUUUAAACUAUGUUACACUUAUUAUUAUCAUUUGAACUUCAGAGAAAUUAAAAACAAUUUAAUAAGAUGAUUUCUAGUUUUAGGUUGGGGUGACCGCGGAGAAAAAAACAACCUCCAUGCUGAAUAAUACUUUUAUUUAAGCCAUGAAUUACAAUUCUAAGCAUCAAUAUUUUGACAUCUAUUGACCCAAUGUUUGAUCAACGAACCAAGUUACCCUAGGGAUAACAGCGCAAUCCACUUCAAGAGCUCAUAUCGACAAGUGGGUUUACGACCUCGAUGUUGGAUCAGGGUAUCCCAGUGGUGCAGCCGCUACUAACGGUUCGUUUGUUCAACGAUUAAAACCCUA
Molecule: ribosomal RNA, 567 nt
Filed under: Pseudopaludicola pusilla
Lineage: Eukaryota; Metazoa; Chordata; Amphibia; Anura; Leptodactylidae
Description: partial 16S ribosomal RNA
Rfam family: Bacterial large subunit ribosomal RNA
Source: RNAcentral